RNAcentral lists this long non-coding RNA (4538 nucleotides) under Mytilus galloprovincialis (Mediterranean mussel). The record is from RNAcentral. Lineage: Eukaryota; Metazoa; Mollusca; Bivalvia; Mytilida; Mytilidae.
GUUCACUAGAUCCUGUUUUAGCUUCAACAAAAAUAUAAACAAGUGCCCAGAUAAUUUAUAAUUCGACACAGUACAUGCAGUAUUACUAUUAGGUUUGAAAGCUUAUUCAAAUCACAGAUCUAGAGUAUUGUAAAAUGUUCUUUUGAAAUUACAGGGUGGCUUGAUAAUACCUGAGGUAAACCGAACACAAAAACAGCUAACAAAAAACCCAAAAUAAUGAAAAAAAGUACAAUUUGUACUACAAAUAAGACAACUUUUCAAGAGUUGUAGAGUCCAAAUAAAACAUAAAAAAUAACAACUAUAGGUCACCAUAUUGCCUUCAACAUUGAGCAAAGCCCAUACAACAUACUCAUACAGUAGGGGCGGAAGAAGAAAGGAGUAGGUCCGGUAAGGACCGAUUUUGGCCUCAAAUUUCAGGUUCAUCUAACGAAAGAUUUUGAUCAAUUUUUAAUCACUUAAGUGUCUAUUUCAUUUGAAUCAAUUAGUUUAUGGGGAACAUUUUAACUGAUCUAGUCAUUAUAAACGAUCCGAUUCAAGCUCAAAUAUGAAAAAUCUACCAAAUAUGCCGAAAAAAAUCACUUUUCAGAUGUUUUUUGUCAAAAAUGAAAGUGGCCGCAUCCGUGUUCAUCCUCAACCUUUAUAUAUGUUAUGUAUUAUCAUAAAAUACAACUUACAUUUCAAUAUUAAGGAUGAACACGAAUGCGGCCACUUUCCUUUUACACGAAAACCGUCUAAAAUUUAACUAAAAUGCUAGAAUUGUGACGAUUUCAGUAAUUAAGCAUGACUUUAUGGUGCUAGUACCCGAUAAAUGUGCAUUAAUAUGUCAAAAACAGCCAAUAUUUAUGUAGAAGAAGCAUUUUACUGUAUAAUGAACAACUAAUAGUUUACAUUUUAACAAUUUUGUAAAACUGCUAUAUUUUGGGGCCAAAAAGUGGUCUUACUGGACCUACUCCUUUUCAAAAUGAAUUAAAUGAAAAAAACUUGAUGACAUAUUUUACAAUGUUCAUGAUGUUUUAGGCAUUGCAAAUAUAAACUCAAAACAGUUAAGGUUUUUUUUUCAAAUACUCCAUUAAAUAAGAAUAUAUUACAACAAUUUUUCAAAAUUCCUAUUUUCAAACUUAUUUUGUAAACUCUUUCCAUUUCCAAAUAUUGAUAAUUUACACAUUUUCACCAUCCCACAGUAUUUAACUGUGGCACCAAUAGCUCUUAGGUCCUUACGUUACUUUUUUGGACCAUAGAUGGUCGGUCCGCAAAAUAAAAAAAUAAAAUAAAAAAAGGACCAUAAGAGUUACGGUUCCGCAGCUACACAGUAAUAUGAGGCAACAAUAUUAACUUCUGUUCAACAUGUUCAAAUACAACCCUGAUCAUGCUUAUAUCAUUUAAAUAGUUUAUAUCUGCUUAAUUCAUCUUCUCAUCCAAUAAGAAUGGUGAAAGUGACUUGUCUGCUUGUAGUUCUGUUCCAGCAUGUUCAUUAUUUUUUUUUAUGUCAAGUUACCCAUGUUACCGUUAAGAGUUCUUUUCUUUGUAACACAUCAAUUGCUGGACUGAAAAGGAUAAUAAAAAAAAUAUAUGAAAAUGUUAAAGUAAUAAACAGAUAAAGAGGAUAGUUAAUGCAUAUUUAAAAAGUUAAAUUUGAUUUCAUAACAGUUCUUAUACAACAUGUACAACAUCUUAGUACAUGUACAUUUGUAUAUCUACUUUCUCCUUUUUCAUGUUUCAAAAAAAGACACAGAACAUGCGUCAAUUGUUUCUAAUAUAAUUGAUUAUAUAGUUCAAAUAUGCAAAUAUGUAACACAGCAACAUACAAAAUCCACUGAAUUACAUGCUCCUGAUUUGGGACAGGCAAAUACAGAAUGAAGGGGGGUUUAACAUGUAAGCUGGUGUCCAACCUUCCCCUAAUCAUGUGAAAGUGGUGCAUCAGAUCAAUACAAGAGCUGAACAACACAAUAAACCAACAACACAUUAACAUUAUAUAUAAUAAGCAGACUUGAACCUCUCAACUGCAUACUCCUGACUUGGGACAGGCACAUAUAGAAAAUGGCAGGGUUAAACAAUCCCCUAACCUCUGACAGUGGUGUAACAUGUAUACAGUACAACAUGUAUUAAUCAUAAAGAACAAACCAUAAAAAUUAAUUGAAAAGGGCUUAACUCUUUACUUACAAAUGUAUCAGAUAGGUACCAAUAGAAAUACUUAUAAAAAGAGUCAAUUAUCAUGAUAAUGAUAAAUUAAUAUAAAAGGACUUGUUACAAAUGUAUAUUUGUGUAAUUAUAUGCAUAAACACACUUUCAAUGAAAUGGAAAAACAUUACCUUUUCAGUUUUUUUAAUUAAAAAAUCAAUUUUGUACUAUCUUUUAUAUAUAUUUGGGGGGUCUUAAGAGAGUAUUUACAAAUGAUGUACAGUACAUGUAUGGGUAAUAGAAGGUACAAAAUGUACAUGUACCUGUAUGCACAUUUGUAGACUGUUUCACUUAAUUGAUAUACAUGUAUUUGAUAAAUAAUCAGCAAAUGUAAAAGGAUACAAAAUCACCAAAGAAAAUAUAAUCAUAAUUAUCAUGAACAAAUGUUAAAUAUUUUGGAUAACUUAUAUCAUGUAUAUCAUGUACAUGUAUAUAGAUCAUCAGUAAGAUGUAAACUGAUUCUUAUAUAUUUUGACAUGUGGUACAUGUAGUUGAACUGAAAUUAUCAUUUUGAUGGUUAUACAAAUUAUCACGAAUCAAUAUGCUGUUAAUUUUUUUUUUCAAUAUUGAUGUUUAGGAGGAGCAAUUAAUUCCCCAAAAUCUCUACUGAAGCCUGCGUUACUGGAAACAGGUGAUGGUAGGGACUCAUUCUAUGUUUUUCAUUAAUCAUGUUAAUGCCCUCUGGGGAAACUGUUCUUGACCUUCUUAUAAAAAACUUUCCUGAGCAAGUUUGUUGGCCCUUAAUUGACCAUAUUAACCAACCUUCAUUGUGGUCUAUGAUCAUGAUGAUAGUGAUGUUAAGGUUUUGAGAUCAGCUUGGGUGUGCCUAGGUUACCACACAACUUGCAUCAUGUGUACCAUCCUGCAGUUGAAACAAAUAAUCAUACACACACUUGUACAUGUAUCAACAUUCUGUAUAAAUUUAAACAUGUUAAUCUACAUGUUUUUCUACAUUAGCAUGAUUAGACAUCUUAGAUAUAAGAUUAUAUGCAUUGUGAGUUCGAACCCAGCUAGUGCGGGUGCACUCGACUCCAAGCUUAAUUGACUAGUAUUGUCAGUUUUCCAAUAGGAGGAUGGUGGUUUUCUCCUGGCACUCCGGCUUCCUCCACCAAUAAAAACUGACCGCCACAAAAUAGCCUAAAUGCAGUGCUUAAACAUGUAAAAAGUGGUGUUAAAACACCAAAAAUAAAAAAAUAAAUUUUUUUAAAGAAAAAGAUCACCAAUUCAUUGUGCAAUUACACAUUCCUGUAUGAUGUCAUUAACAGAUAGAAUGUGCGCCUGUAUCGCUGCACCUAUUAAAUAUUCAAGCAUCAUCAGGAUCGUCUUUCUGCAGGAUAGUCUAGAAAGAAUUCUGUUCUGAAGGGACUUAUUUACCACAACGUGCUUCACAACUAAAAGGAGGUUGACAUUCAGAAUUCUAAUUAGAUUUUUAUUUCUUUAGUUUUUCAUGCAGUAUAUAGCCUUAGACUUUUUCAACCAUUUACUCAACAUAGGACCCUUGGUAGUAAUUACAAUGCCUACAUUUUAGUCACAUGGUGAUGAAAGUCAAAUGACAGAUAUAAGUAACUGCCGUCAUGACCAUAUCUUUGAACUGGCAUAUUUGAUUGCUCAGCUAAGAUGAUUGACACCUCAAUUUUAAUGAUUCAUUGAAAUUAAAUUAUUAAAUCUUUUUUUCUUGUUUUGUACAGUGGAAUGGCAUCUUCAAAAGAGAACUUUGAUAACUCAGUUUGUCCUGAGUCUUCAAAUCAACCAAUGAAAAGACGUCAUACUGAGUCAGGAGCUUCCUCUGACAACAACAGCGAACAAGUUAAGUACAAAGGGAACAAGAAAAAACGCAAUUCAGAAGUGGAGAACAAUUUUGUCUCCCAUCCAGAAGAGAGUAUGCACAGUGAAGCAGACUCAGAAAAAUCUAUUUUUCCAUUGGGAACCGUGAUAAAGAAAAACAUUUCAGACUGGACGGCCAUAGACCUAUCACCUUUCAGAAUGAACUUUGAAAAAUGUGCAAAUAUAGAAAAUGUGUUCUUCAAUGGGCUUUCACAUUUUGCAAUGAAAAAGGAAUGGUCUCCUAGAAUUUUGAAAUUAGGCUUCCGUAGCCCUGAAGACCAAGUAAAAUGUGAAUGUUUUCAAUAUGCAAUUGAUAAUAUCAUUAACAUUGACUGUAAUAACAUUGAAGAAAUUGAAUUCAGUGACCUUUCAAAAAUAAGGCAUACAAUUGAGGACGCUCAUUGGAUUGCCGACUAUGUAGGAACAUCAGAUGUUAGAGACAGGUAAUGCCAUUAACAGGUAAAAUAAAAAGUUAUGUUUUAUAAAGUGCACAGUGUAAAUGAUGUAGUGUGAGAUAAAACAGUUAAGAAUGGAAG